This is a non-coding RNA of Meleagris gallopavo (turkey), 1569 nucleotides long. NCBI's taxonomy places the organism in Eukaryota, Metazoa, Chordata, Aves, Galliformes, Phasianidae. The record is from RefSeq and is a predicted model, not a curated record.
UUUAAGAGCUGACUACCACUGGGGAAGGAUCUCUUUUGGAGAUUGCUUCUUUUGGAGUCUUCUCAGUGACUCCAGAACAAGGGGAGUAGCAUUCAACCAGUGGAACAUGCGGAUGUUCAGCCUUCAUGUGAACAAGACCUUGUUGCCCUUUCUUAUGCAGGAAGGCAUAUGAAGGAAGGCAGUUCCAGGCUCUGGACUUCAUCUCAAUGGUGGUUUUAGCCAUCAGAACAAGACCUAAAGGGCUCAGGAUGUGCAUGCUGUGAGCUGGGGCCCGAAUCCUAUGCUGAAGCCCUCCACAUUAACCUGGAGCUGUCAGAUAGAGCUACACAAUCGAACAAAAGUGUAAUGCUGAGCUAUUGGGCAAUUCCAAGAGAUACAGCAAUGAAAAGAGUACUGAAAGAACAAAAAUAUGCACAGUGACCUGAGAGCACUUGCAUAUUCUUUUGAAAACAAAGAGCUUUCCUUCUCAUUUUUUUUUUCCUCCCUUUAUUUAGAGAGUGAAUAUUCUUAAAAUUCAUUUUUAAUAGAUCUAUUACACCAGUUGGGUCUCUCUAAUAUGCAGUAGAAGAUUCAGCAUUUGAAAUACCACAGAAGGAUAUUAGCUAACUGAGGGCUAAGAAUGUCACACAGACGUCUGUUUAUCAUGCAAGUAGUUUAUUUAGAUGCAAAGAUGUAUUAGACUCUAAUGAUUAAGUGAAAAACGGGAGUUGCUUUGUAUCUGUCUUUCAGAGCACAUCACCAGAACUUCAAUGUCUUUUCUCCAUUAGUUCAGAAAGCAAUACUGAAGUAAGCAACAGAAAUGAGGGCCGCCAACGGUGUAUAGAAAGGAGACUUGAUUUCUCAUACAGUAGUAGAGAAUGGGCUGCAGAAGAACAGAUGCUUUUAAAUCAGCAGAGCAUUGUGCAAACAGCUGUUAACCAGACACAGCAUCUAAUUCCACCGAUUGUACCCUUAAUUUUGCUGCUGCCAUGCAGUUUCAGCGUGACAUUUAGAAAGACGUCUCAGCUGGUUUAUGUAGUACUUUGUAAGCCCUGCUUUGCAGGCAGGUAACUGACAGAUAUUACCUUUCAGUUCCAGGAAAUAAUACAGAUUUUAACCUUUUGUGGAAUGUGAGUGGGGUCUCACUAAACCUUAAACCUAAACUACUUCCUGACCUUUUCACAAUCCCACAACUAUUAUUUUUCUCUCUAAAUUAUGCUCUGCAUUUGCACAUCGCUUUUGUUUAUUACUGUUCCUGCAGGUGACUUCAUCAUCCUAAUAUGUGGUGUAAGGGUCUUGCUUUUGUAGCUAACCACUGAUAGCAUGCAGAAAGCAGGACCUCCAUUCAGAGAUGGGUCAGAUGGUCAAGUGUCAGACCAGCACAAAGUCAACAGUGGAGCACUAUGCAGCACAGGUAUUUCAGCUCCUGGAAAACAUGUCAUUUAUUCAUACUAGAGCAAGUUAUUUCUGAAGGUAGAAAAUGAAAGCAGGAAUCUUUUCCUUGUCAAAAAUAGGCUUUUGAAUGGUGCAAGCACCUGCAAAUACACACACACACACACACACACACACACACACACACACACACACACA